AGUGAACGCUGGCGGUAGGCCUAACACAUGCAAGUCGAACGGCAGCACAGUAAGAGCUUGCUCUUACGGGUGGCGAGUGGCGGACGGGUGAGGAAUACAUCGGAAUCUACUUUUUCGUGGGGGAUAACGUAGGGAAACUUACGCUAAUACCGCAUACGACCUACGGGUGAAAGCAGGGGAUCUUCGGACCUUGCGCGAUUGAAUGAGCCGAUGUCGGAUUAGCUAGUUGGCGGGGUAAAGGCCCACCAAGGCGACGAUCCGUAGCUGGUCUGAGAGGAUGAUUAGCCACACUGGAACUUGGACCCGGUCCAGACUCCUACGGGAGGCAGCAGUGGGGAAUAUUGGACAAUGGGCGCAAGCCUGAUCCAGCCAUACCGCGUGGGUGAAGAAGGCCUUCGGGUUGUAAAGCCCUUUUGUUGGGAAAGAAAAGCAGCAGGUUAAUACCCCGCUGUUCUGACGGUACCCAAAGAAUAAGCACCGGCUAACUUCGUG
Molecule: ribosomal RNA, 492 nt
Filed under: uncultured bacterium
Lineage: Bacteria
Description: partial 16S ribosomal RNA
Rfam family: Bacterial small subunit ribosomal RNA
Source: RNAcentral